This 497-nucleotide ribosomal RNA is filed under the name uncultured bacterium. RNAcentral's name for it is "partial 16S ribosomal RNA". It matches the Rfam family "Bacterial small subunit ribosomal RNA", at positions 28 to 507 of the family's 1533-position model. The record is from RNAcentral.
GACGAACGCUGGCGGCGUGCCUAAUACAUGCAAGUUGAGCGCUGAAGGUUGGUACUUGUACCGACUGGAUGAGCAGCGAACGGGUGAGUAACGCGUGGGGAAUCUGCCUUUGAGCGGGGGACAACAUUUGGAAACGAAUGCUAAUACCGCAUAAAAACUUUAAACACAAGUUUUAAGUUUGAAAGAUGCAAUUGCAUCACUCAAAGAUGAUCCCGCGUUGUAUUAGCUAGUUGGUGAGGUAAAGGCUCACCAAGGCGAUGAUACAUAGCCGACCUGAGAGGGUGAUCGGCCACAUUGGGACUGAGACACGGCCCAAACUCCUACGGGAGGCAGCAGUAGGGAAUCUUCGGCAAUGGACGAAAGUCUGACCGAGCAACGCCGCGUGAGUGAAGAAGGUUGUCGGAUCGUAAAACUCUGUUGGUAGAGAAGAACGUUGGUGAGAGUGGAAAGCUCAUCAAGUGACGGUAACUACACAGAAAGGGACGGCUAACUACGUG